Molecule: transfer RNA, 67 nt
Filed under: Nesophrosyne maritima
Lineage: Eukaryota; Metazoa; Arthropoda; Insecta; Hemiptera; Cicadellidae
Description: tRNA-Gly
Source: RNAcentral
AUUCAAUUAGUAUAUUAGUAGUAUACUAAGCUUCCAACUUAGAGGAUUUGUAUUAUUAAAUUGAAUA